UACAGAGGGUGCGAGCGUUAAUCGGAAUUACUGGGCGUAAAGGGCGCGUAGGCGGUUUAUCAAGUGAGAUGUGAAAUCCCCGGGCUUAACCUGGGAACUGCAUCUUAAACUGGUAAGCUGGAGUACUGUAGAGGACAGUGGAAUUUCCGGUGUAGCGGUGAAAUGCGUAGAGAUCGGAAGGGACAUCAGUGGCGAAAGCGGCACCCUAGCGUUAGCCUGACGCUCAUGUGCGAAAGCGUGGGGAGCGAACGGG
RNAcentral lists this ribosomal RNA (253 nucleotides) under uncultured bacterium. Its description in RNAcentral is "partial 16S ribosomal RNA". It matches the Rfam family "Bacterial small subunit ribosomal RNA", at positions 524 to 776 of the family's 1533-position model. The record is from RNAcentral.